CAGUCGCCGCGGUAAUACGUAGGGUGCAAGCGUUAAUCGGAAUUACUGGGCGUAAAGGGUGCGUAGGCGGUUGUUUAAGUCUGUUGUGAAAUCCCCGGGCUCAACCUGGGAAUGGCAAUGGAAACUGGACGGCUAGAGUGUGUCAGAGGAUGGUGGAAUUCCCGGUGUAGCGGUGAAAUGCGUAGAUAUCGGAAGGAACACCUGUGGCGAAAGCGGCUCACUGGACAAUAACUGACGCUGAUGCACGAAAGCUAGGGGAGCAAACAGGAUUAGAUACCCCCGUAGUCCCUGUCUCUUAUAA
Molecule: ribosomal RNA, 301 nt
Filed under: uncultured bacterium
Lineage: Bacteria
Description: partial 16S ribosomal RNA
Rfam family: Bacterial small subunit ribosomal RNA
Source: RNAcentral